AUGACUGGAUUUCGGUAGGACACACAGUGCUAUUCCAGUUGACUUCACUGAUUGAGGCCAUUUUUAUAAUGGUGAGAAACAAAAAGGCACCUCUUAAAAAGAGCGAAAAAACCACAGUCACAGGCGAGUUAUUUGCCUGCAGCAUUUGCUGUGGGUACAGACCGUUUUAUUCUGUGGCCCGGACGCUGUAACGCACGACAUGAUGGAUCGGACCAGUUCCAAAACCUGAAAAACCAGCGAAGUGUACCCUCACCAUUGUUGCCUUCUUUUUCUUCAACGUAAGAAAGGCCACCUCCCCGGAUACUAUCAAAGAACACAACAAUCAGCAGGUUGCGAAGACUUUAAUAAAAUGGAUGUUUUAUUAAGAAGACAUUAAGAAGACAUAAAACAAUGUUUUUUGUGGGCUUUUAUAAAAUAACGAAUGCGUUUGAUUGGCUUUUAAACGAAAGCAGAAAUAAACUAAGCAUCAGCUUUUUUCCUUCAGAAAUUAUAAACAGAGUGUUAUUGGUUGCAAUGUUGUGAUAAAUGACCGCGAGUCACGUUUUCGAUGAUUUUGUUUUGAAAAGUCAAAGAACGAGUUUAGCGAGAAUUGGUGACAGUAAAUAUUAGAAUCCCAUUUUUUUUUGAAGGCGGUGAUAUUUGACAAAUACUGCUUCAUAAGGAUCUGAAUACCACAACCUAUAAUUUAAGACAAGCUGUGUCCCUAAUUCAAAUUGUUAUUGCAGAAUGGUAAAUCUAUGGAUAGCAUUGAGCAUUUCAGAUCCAACUGUCAAUUAGAGAAUCAGCAUUGUGCCUGAAGGGUGAAUGUGUACACUUUACGAGAACAAAUCUAUCUGUAGUGGCCCUUUAAUAGAAGCUGGGCCUGAACAACGCACGGAAUAAAAAUCUCCAAUUUG
Amblyraja radiata (thorny skate) is the source of this 896-nucleotide long non-coding RNA. RefSeq lists it as uncharacterized. The transcript is spliced from 2 exons. The record is from RefSeq and is a predicted model, not a curated record. Lineage: Eukaryota; Metazoa; Chordata; Chondrichthyes; Rajiformes; Rajidae.